Molecule: transfer RNA, 100 nt
Filed under: Thermoprotei archaeon
Lineage: Archaea; Thermoproteati; Thermoproteota; Thermoprotei
Also listed under: 1 other name
Description: tRNA-OTHER
Rfam family: tRNA
About the family: Transfer RNA (tRNA) molecules are approximately 80 nucleotides in length. Their secondary structure includes four short double-helical elements and three loops (D, anti-codon, and T loops).
Source: RNAcentral
GGGCCCGUAGCGCAGUCCGGAUAGCGCGGCGUCAACCGUAAGGGUUGCCGCAGGCCUCCUAAGCCGUCGGUCGUGGGUUCGAAUCCCACCGGGCCCGCCA